CGCCUCUUGAAAAAAUAUAAGAGGUCCAGCCUGCCCAGUGACCUAGUUCAACGGCCGCGGUAUCCUAACCGUGCGAAGGUAGCGUAAUCACUUGUUCUUUAAAUAAGGACUAGUAUGAAUGGCACCACGAGGGUUUAACUGUCUCCUUUUUCCAAUCAGUGAAACUAAUCUCCCCGUGAAGAAGCUGGGAUUUUUUUAUAAGACGAGAAGACCCUAUGGAGCUUUAAACUAUUUUACACCUGCUGCCCACAAACCAACUUCCAGAAAUUAACCCUAAAGCAUGGCACUUUGAUUAAUAGUUUUUGAUUGGGGUGAUCGCGGAGUAAAAAAUAACCUCCACGACGACAAGGAUUCUUCCUGAGCCAUAAGCCACAACUUUAAGCACUAAUAUUAUUAACGGCUAUUGACCCAAUAAUUUUGAUCAACGAACCAAGUUACCCUAGGGAUAACAGCGCAAUCCACUUCAAGAGCUCCUAUCGACAAGUGGGUUUACGACCUCGAUGUUGGAUCAGGGUAUCCUAGUGGUGCAGCCGCUACUAACGGUUCGUUUGUUCAACGAUUAAAACCCUA
This 570-nucleotide ribosomal RNA is filed under the name Boana crepitans (emerald-eyed treefrog). RNAcentral's name for it is "partial 16S ribosomal RNA". It matches the Rfam family "Bacterial large subunit ribosomal RNA", at positions 1819 to 2598 of the family's 2925-position model. The record is from RNAcentral. Lineage: Eukaryota; Metazoa; Chordata; Amphibia; Anura; Hylidae.